Molecule: transfer RNA, 69 nt
Filed under: Notidobia ciliaris
Lineage: Eukaryota; Metazoa; Arthropoda; Insecta; Trichoptera; Sericostomatidae
Description: tRNA-Gly
Source: RNAcentral
ACUUACAUAAUAUAUAAAUAUUAGUAUAUUUGAUUUCCAAUCAAAAAGAUUAUAUCAAUAAUAUAAGUA